GCCGCGGUGGUGAAAUUGGUAUACACGCAUGCUUUAGGAGCAUGUGCCGAAAGGUGUGAGCGUUCGAGUCGCUCCCGCGGCACCA
RNAcentral lists this transfer RNA (85 nucleotides) under Candidatus Saccharimonadota bacterium. RNAcentral describes it as "tRNA-Leu". The record is from RNAcentral. Lineage: Bacteria; Candidatus Saccharimonadota.